Molecule: transfer RNA, 90 nt
Filed under: Hadarchaeum sp. (SeqCode)
Lineage: Archaea; Methanobacteriati; Hadarchaeota (SeqCode); Hadarchaeia (SeqCode); Hadarchaeales (SeqCode); Hadarchaeaceae (SeqCode)
Description: Candidatus Hadarchaeum sp. tRNA-Ser
Rfam family: tRNA
About the family: Transfer RNA (tRNA) molecules are approximately 80 nucleotides in length. Their secondary structure includes four short double-helical elements and three loops (D, anti-codon, and T loops).
Source: RNAcentral
GCCGGGGUGGCAGAACUAGGCUAAUGCGACAGAUUCGAGAUCUGUUAACCCUCACGGGUUGUCAGGGUUCAAAUCCCUGCCCCGGCGCCA